This 247-nucleotide ribosomal RNA is filed under the name uncultured bacterium. RNAcentral describes it as "partial 16S ribosomal RNA". It matches the Rfam family "Bacterial small subunit ribosomal RNA", at positions 87 to 334 of the family's 1533-position model. The record is from RNAcentral.
UUGACUUAGCGGCGGACGGGUGAGUAACGCGUGGGUAACCUGCCUUACACUGGGGGAUAACAGUUAGAAAUGACUGCUAAUACCGCAUAAGCGCACAGGGCCGCAUGGUCCGGUGUGAAAAACUCCGGUGGUGUAAGAUGGACCCGCGUCUGAUUAGGUAGUUGGUGGGGUAACGGCCCACCAAGCCGACGAUCAGUAGCCGACCUGAGAGGGUGACCGGCCACAUUGGGACUGAGACACGGCCCAA